This 253-nucleotide ribosomal RNA is filed under the name uncultured bacterium. RNAcentral's name for it is "partial 16S ribosomal RNA". It matches the Rfam family "Bacterial small subunit ribosomal RNA", at positions 524 to 776 of the family's 1533-position model. The record is from RNAcentral.
UACAGAGGUGGCAAGCGUUGUUCGGAAUUCCUGGGCGUAAAGGGCGCGUAGGCGGCCUUCUAAGUCAGACGUGAAAUCCCCCGGCUUAACCUGGGAACUGCGUCUGAUACUGGAGGGCUUGAGUGCGGGAGAGGGAUGUGGAAUUCCAGGUGUAGCGGUGAAAUGCGUAGAUAUCUGGAGGAACACCGGUGGCGAAGGCGGCAUCCUGGACCGACACUGACGCUGAGGCGCGAAAGCUAGGGUAGCAAACGGG